RNAcentral lists this ribosomal RNA (252 nucleotides) under uncultured Erysipelothrix sp. RNAcentral's name for it is "partial 16S ribosomal RNA". It matches the Rfam family "Bacterial small subunit ribosomal RNA", at positions 524 to 776 of the family's 1533-position model. Lineage: Bacteria; Bacillati; Bacillota; Erysipelotrichia; Erysipelotrichales; Erysipelotrichaceae. The record is from RNAcentral.
UACGUAGGUGGCAAGCGUUAUCCGGAAUUAUUGGGCGUAAAGGGAGCGUAGGCGGUUUAUUAAGUCUAUGGUGAAAGUUCGGGGCUCAACCCCGUGAUGCCAUAGAAACUGGUAGACUUGAGUACAAGAGAGGUUAGUGGAAUUCCAUGUGUAGCGGUAAAAUGCGUAGAUAUAUGGAGGAACACCAGUGGCGAAGGCGACUCUCUGGUCUGUAACUGACGCUGAGGCUCGAAAGCGUGGGGAGCAAACAGG